This 81-nucleotide transfer RNA is filed under the name Trichonephila clavipes. It matches the Rfam family "tRNA". From Rfam's summary of the family: Transfer RNA (tRNA) molecules are approximately 80 nucleotides in length. The record is from Rfam by way of RNAcentral. Lineage: Eukaryota; Metazoa; Arthropoda; Arachnida; Araneae; Nephilidae.
GGUAGCGUGGCCGAGCGGUCUAAGGCGCUGGUUUAAGGCACCAGUCUUCCGGAGGCGUGGGUUCGAAUCCCACCGCUGCCA